Molecule: microRNA, 21 nt
Filed under: Sorghum bicolor (sorghum)
Lineage: Eukaryota; Viridiplantae; Streptophyta; Magnoliopsida; Poales; Poaceae
Description: sbi-miR5568b-3p
Source: miRBase by way of RNAcentral
ACUAUGUAUCUAGAAAAGCUA